This 279-nucleotide ribosomal RNA is filed under the name uncultured bacterium. RNAcentral's name for it is "partial 16S ribosomal RNA". It matches the Rfam family "Bacterial small subunit ribosomal RNA", at positions 506 to 784 of the family's 1533-position model. The record is from RNAcentral.
UGCCAGCCGCCGCGGUAAUACGAAGGGACCUGGCGUAGUUCGGAAUUACUGGGCUUAAAGAGUUCGUAGGUGGUUAAAAAAGUUGGUGGUGGAAUCCCAAGGCUCAACCUUGGAACUGCCAUCAAAACUUUUUAGCCAGAGUAUGAUAGAGGAAAGUGGAAUUUCUAGUGUAGAGGUGAAAUUCGUAGAUAUUAGAAAGAACAUCAAAUGCGAAGGCAACUUUCUGGAUCACUACUGACACUGAGGAACGAAAGCAUGGGUAGCGAAGAGGAUUAGAUA